GGGGAUGUAGCUCAGUGGUAGAGCACAUACUUAGCAUGUAUGAGAUCCUGGGUUCAAUUCCCAGCAUCUCCA
Molecule: non-coding RNA, 72 nt
Organism: Gopherus evgoodei (Goodes thornscrub tortoise)
Lineage: Eukaryota; Metazoa; Chordata; Testudines; Testudinidae
Source: the annotation of a RefSeq genome assembly